CGCGGCCUAUCAGCUUGUUGGUGAGGUAAUGGCUCACCAAGGCGACGACGGGUAGCCGGCCUGAGAGGGCGACCGGCCACACUGGGACUGAGACACGGCCCAGACUCCUACGGGAGGCAGCAGUGGGGAAUAUUGCACAAUGGGCGAAAGCCUGAUGCGGCGACGCCGCGUGAGGGAUGACGGCCUUCGGGUUGUAAACCUCUUUCAGCAGGGAAGAAGCGAAAGUGACGGUACCUGCAGAAGAAGCGCCGGCUAACUACGUGCCAGCAGCCGCGGUAAUACGUAGGGCGCAAGCGUUGUCCGGAAUUAUUGGGCGUAAAGAGCUCGUAGGCGGCUUGUCACGUCGGGUGUGAAAGCCCGGGGCUUAACCCCGGGUCUGCAUUCGAUACGGGCUAGCUAGAGUGUGGUAGGGGAGAUCGGAAUUCCUGGUGUAGCGGUGAAAUGCGCAGAUAUCAGGAGGAACACCGGUGGCGAAGGCGGAUCUCUGGGCCAUUACUGACGCUGAGGAGCGAAAGCGUGGGGAGCGAACAGGAUUAGAUACCCUGGUAGUCCACGCCGUAAACGGUGGGAACUAGGUGUUGGCGACAUUCCACGUCGUCGGUGCCGCAGCUAACGCAUUAAGUUCCCCGCC
Molecule: ribosomal RNA, 631 nt
Filed under: uncultured bacterium
Lineage: Bacteria
Description: bacterial SSU rRNA
Rfam family: Bacterial small subunit ribosomal RNA
Source: RNAcentral